RNAcentral lists this signal recognition particle RNA (265 nucleotides) under Eubacteriales bacterium. Its description in RNAcentral is "signal recognition particle sRNA large type". It matches the Rfam family "Bacterial large signal recognition particle RNA". From Rfam's summary of the family: The signal recognition particle (SRP) is a universally conserved ribonucleoprotein involved in the co-translational targeting of proteins to membranes. Archaeal SRP consists of a 7S RNA and homologues of the eukaryotic SRP19 and SRP54 proteins. Lineage: Bacteria; Bacillati; Bacillota; Clostridia; Eubacteriales. The record is from RNAcentral. RNAcentral also lists the same sequence under 1 other name.
UCAUACCGGCCGGGGAGACAGCGGUGCCCUGUUACCUGCAAUCCGCUACAGCAGGGGUGGUUUCCCCCCGAGAGGGGCGCGUGCGUGCAGUCUGCACCGAUAUGAAAGUGUUGACGGAUUGGCCUUGCGCAAUUGACGGCUGUGAACCAUGUCAGGCGGGGAACCGAGCAGCAUUAAACAGUUACGUCGAUGUGCCGCAAGCAAGCCUGUCCCGAGCCGGAUUAUCGGCGGCGUGUAUGUGUGCGUUUCGAUGGGGGGUGUAUGG